UAUUUGAUUUUCUUCGGAAAUGAAGAUUUUGUGACUGAGUGGCGGACGGGUGAGUAACGCGUGGGUAACCUGCCUCAUACAGGGGGAUAACAGUUGGAAACGACUGCUAAUACCGCAUAAGCGCACAGGAUUGCAUGAUCCGGUGUGAAAAACUCCGGUGGUAUGAGAUGGACCCGCGUCUGGUUAGCCAGUUGGCAGGGUAACGGCCUACCAAAGCGACGAUCAGUAGCCGACCUGAGAGGGUGACCGGCCACAUUGGGACUGAGACACGGCCCAAACUCCUACGGGAGGCAGCAGUGGGGAAUAUUGCACAAUGGGGGAAACCCUGAUGCAGCGACGCCGCGUGAGCGAAGAAGUAUUUCGGUAUGUAAAGCUCUAUCAGCAGGGAAGGAGAAUGACGGUACCUGACUAAGAAGCACCGGCUAAAUACGUGCCAGCAGCCGCGGUAAUACGUAUGGUGCAAGCGUUAUCCGGAUUUACUGGGUGUAAAGGGAGCGCAGGCGGUGCGGCAAGUCUGAUGUGAAAGCCCGGGGCUCAACCCCGGUACUGCAUUGGAAACUGUCGUACUAGAGUGUCGGAGGGGUAAGUGGAAUUCCUAGUGUAGCGGUGAAAUGCGUAGAUAUUAGGAGGAACACCAGUGGCGAAGGCGGCUUACUGGACGAUAACUGACGCUGAGGCUCGAAAGCGUGGGGAGCAAAC
Molecule: ribosomal RNA, 699 nt
Filed under: uncultured bacterium
Lineage: Bacteria
Description: bacterial SSU rRNA
Rfam family: Bacterial small subunit ribosomal RNA
Source: RNAcentral